This 287-nucleotide long non-coding RNA is filed under the name Cercocebus atys (sooty mangabey). RNAcentral's name for it is "lncRNA (ENSCATG00000045451.1)". The record is from RNAcentral. Lineage: Eukaryota; Metazoa; Chordata; Mammalia; Primates; Cercopithecidae.
UAUAUAUUAACUUAAUUACCUGUUUCUAAUGUGCAAUCUGCUGGAUUUUAUUGGCAGGGUAUAUCACAACUUUUAAUGAGCCACAUCUUGCACCAGGCCACACUUUGAAAAAGAAAGAAGAGAGAGCUGGAUGGCUGGAUGAAAUUUCAAAUUUCCAUUUGCAAAUCAGCAGUUUCUAAGCAUAGAGAAAAACGUAAAAUACAACAGUUGAAAAGGAUACAAAGAAACAUAGAAUAUACAAUGUUGGUGGAAGAGAAGAUUGGCACAACCACUCUGGAGAAGGUAUA